Molecule: ribosomal RNA, 468 nt
Filed under: uncultured bacterium
Lineage: Bacteria
Description: partial 16S ribosomal RNA
Rfam family: Bacterial small subunit ribosomal RNA
Source: RNAcentral
GACGAACGCUGGCGGCGCGCCUAACACAUGCAAGUCGAACGGAGCUGAGAGAAGCUUGCUUUUCUUAGCUUAGUGGCGAACGGGUGAGUAACGCGUGAGUAACCUGCCCUGGAGUGGGGGACAACAGUUGGAAACGACUGCUAAUACCGCAUAAGCCCACGAUCCGGCAUCGGGGUGGGGGAAAAGGAUUUAUUCGCUUCAGGAUGGACGCGCGUCCAAUUAGCUAGUUGGUGAGGUAACGGCCCACCAAGGCGACGAUUGGUAGCCGGACUGAGAGGUUGAACGGCCACAGUGGGACUGAGACACGGCCCAGACUCCUACGGGAGGCAGCAGUGGGGGAUAUUGCACAAUGGGGGAAACCCUGAUGCAGCGACGCCGCGUGGAGGAAGAAGGUUUUCGGAUUGUAAACUCCUGUCGUUAGGGACGAUAAUGACGGUACCUAACAAGAAAGCACCGGCUAACUACGUG